AACGAACGCUGGCGGCAGGCUUAACACAUGCAAGUCGAGCGAAGACUUCGGUCUUAGCGGCGGACGGGUGAGUAACGCGUGGGAACAUACCCUUUGCUACGGAACAGUCCCGGGAAACUGGGUUUAAUACCGUAUACGCCCUUCGGGGGAAAGAUUUAUCGGGGAUGGAUGAGCCCGCGUUGGAUUAGCUAGUUGGUGGGGUAAAGGCCUACCAAGGCGACGAUCCAUAGCUGGUCUGAGAGGAUGAUCAGCCACAUUGGGACUGAGACACGGCCCAAACUCCUACGGGAGGCAGCAGUGGGGAAUCUUAGACAAUGGGGGCAACCCUGAUCUAGCCAUGCCGCGUGAGUGAUGAAGGCCUUAGGGUUGUAAAGCUCUUUCAGCUGGGAAGAUAAUGACGGUACCAGCAGAAGAAGCCCCGGCUAACUCCGUGCCAGCCGCCGCCGUAAGAC
This 452-nucleotide ribosomal RNA is filed under the name uncultured bacterium. RNAcentral describes it as "bacterial SSU rRNA". It matches the Rfam family "Bacterial small subunit ribosomal RNA", at positions 29 to 526 of the family's 1533-position model. The record is from RNAcentral.